GAUGAACGCUGGCGGCGUGCUUAACACAUGCAAGUCGAACGGGAAUUAUUUUAUUGAAACUUCGGUCGAUUUAAUUUAAUUCUAGUGGCGGACGGGUGAGUAACGCGUGGGUAACCUGCCUUAUACAGGGGGAUAACAGUCAGAAAUGACUGCUAAUACCGCAUAAGCGCACAGGACCGCAUGGUCCGGUGUGAAAAACUCCGGUGGUAUAAGAUGGACCCGCGUUGGAUUAGCUGGUUGGUGGGGUAACGGCCCACCAAGGCGACGAUCCAUAGCCGGCCUGAGAGGGUGAACGGCCACAUUGGGACUGAGACACGGCCCAGACUCCUACGGGAGGCAGCAGUGGGGAAUAUUGCACAAUGGGGGAAACCCUGAUGCAGCGACGCCGCGUGAAGGAAGAAGUAUCUCGGUAUGUAAACUUCUAUCAGCAGGGAAGAUAGUGACGGUACCUGACUAAGAAGCACCGGCUAAAUACGUGCCAGCAGCCGCGGUAA
This 494-nucleotide ribosomal RNA is filed under the name uncultured bacterium. Its description in RNAcentral is "partial 16S ribosomal RNA". It matches the Rfam family "Bacterial small subunit ribosomal RNA", at positions 28 to 523 of the family's 1533-position model. The record is from RNAcentral.